CUUAUGUAGUUUUUGUAAGUUUAUACAUUUAAACUGAACUGCAUGCAUGCGCACAUACACACAGAGUCAGCCCAUAUUUUGAGAUCUGAACUAUGUUUUCUCUGCAGAUCUAUUUUUGUUACAAAAUGAGCCGGCACAACUCAAAAUAUAGGAAGCAGACACAGGAAGCAAACCUGCUGAGUACAAGCAUCUCUCUCAAGACCCCAGUUUCCAAAUGGAGAAGGAAACAAUUGUAAAGCAACAAAUCUUUAAGACUCAGAAAUAUCGUCUGCAUUUUUGGAACAUUCCCCAUUUGAUUUGAUGAGACUCUGUUGCUAUGUUUAUUUUGAUCUUGCUUUAAAGGACAUCAGAGUAUUUGCUGCUCCUAAGAAUUCUGAGUCACUGAUAUCUACUGUACAAGUGUGUAUACCAG
Long non-coding RNA from Alligator mississippiensis (American alligator), 412 nucleotides. RefSeq lists it as uncharacterized. The transcript has 2 exons. The record is from RefSeq and is a predicted model, not a curated record. Lineage: Eukaryota; Metazoa; Chordata; Crocodylia; Alligatoridae.